GACGAACGCUGGCGGUGUGCUUAACACAUGCAAGUCGAACGGUAAGGCCCUUUCGGGGGUACCCGAGUGGCGAACGGGUGAGUAACACGUGAGUAACCUGCCCUCAUCUCUGGGAUAACAGUCGGAAACGGUUGCUAAUACUGGAUAUGAGCUUGCAAGGCAUCUUGUGGGUUGGAAAGAUUUUUUUUGGUUGGGGAUGGACUCGCGGCCUAUCAGCUUGUUGGUGAGGUAGUGGCUCACCAAGGCUUCGACGGGUAGCCGGCCUGAGAGGGCGACCGGCCACAUUGGGACUGAGAUACGGCCCAAACUCCUACGGGAGGCAGCAAUGGGGAAUAUUGCACAAUGGACGGAAGUCUGAUGCAGCAACGCCGCGUGCGGGAUGACGGCCUUCGGGUUGUAAACCGCUUUCAAUUGUGACGAAGCUUUUUUGUGACGGUAGCAGUAGAAGAAGCACCGGCUAACUACGUG
RNAcentral lists this ribosomal RNA (468 nucleotides) under uncultured bacterium. Its description in RNAcentral is "partial 16S ribosomal RNA". It matches the Rfam family "Bacterial small subunit ribosomal RNA", at positions 28 to 507 of the family's 1533-position model. The record is from RNAcentral.